This is a long non-coding RNA of Seriola aureovittata, 422 nucleotides long. RefSeq lists it as uncharacterized. Lineage: Eukaryota; Metazoa; Chordata; Actinopteri; Carangiformes; Carangidae. The record is from RefSeq and is a predicted model, not a curated record. The transcript has 2 exons.
CCGGUUUCUAUAAAGUGGAAAUCAACAAUCUGCUGGAGAUGAAGAAGAUUUAAUUUUUAUAUAUAUUUACAACCCAAAGAGUGACAUCUUAUCAGUCAGGUGGAGAUUGACUCAACAUUGUUUUUACAGCACACAGCCUCCUGUAACCGGCCCGUCAUCGUUCACGUUGUCAUGUGCGACUGCACCUGCCGGACGAGCGGAGCGGUAUGUGGAUGUGUCUCGACACGCUGAGAUGUAUGUGUUUACCUCAGAGCUACAGCUGUCUGAUCAGUUUGCUCUAGUAACACAGAGCGAUUAAAAACGGCCUCAGGCUUCAGUCACAGAGAGACUCUCACGGAUCUGACAGCGACACUGUGAGCUGUUGGUUCAGAUGAUGUCUAACCUAUUGAAAACUGUCACGGAUUAAAAGUCGACAUCAAGUG